Long non-coding RNA from Vigna angularis (adzuki bean), 368 nucleotides. RefSeq lists it as uncharacterized. The transcript is spliced from 2 exons. NCBI's taxonomy places the organism in Eukaryota, Viridiplantae, Streptophyta, Magnoliopsida, Fabales, Fabaceae. The record is from RefSeq and is a predicted model, not a curated record.
GUAAAAGCAAGAAAAUUUUGUAAAAGUCAAAACCAUGACCAAGUUGCAAAGCAGUGCCCUUAUUGUUUUGGCUUUGUUUGCCCUCCUCCACCAAACUUAUGGGGAAAUCCAUUUUUGCCCAAAAGUAAUGAAUUUUGGUGGGCAAUGCCCAUCGGGUAUUUCAGGAAGAGGAUGCUCUGAAGAAAUGCAUGCAAGACUAGGAGCAGGUGCCAUGCCCCAGAAUUGCACUUGUAGUAAUAUUUCUUUUAACCUACGCAAAUGCACUUGUCAAGUUAAUUGUGGGAUCUAAGACACUCUCCUUAAAACAAUAAGUGUUCACCGAUCUUAUGUAACACAUUGGGAAUUUUAAUAAUGUCUUCAAUUUCUUA